RNAcentral lists this ribosomal RNA (495 nucleotides) under uncultured bacterium. Its description in RNAcentral is "partial 16S ribosomal RNA". It matches the Rfam family "Bacterial small subunit ribosomal RNA", at positions 28 to 507 of the family's 1533-position model. The record is from RNAcentral.
GACGAACGCUGGCGGCGUGCCUAAUACAUGCAAGUAGAACGCUGAAGGAGGAGCUUGCUUCUCUGGAUGAGCUGCGAACGGGUGAGUAACGCGUAGGUAACCUGCCUGGUAGCGGGGGAUAACUAUUGGAAACGAUAGCUAAUACCGCAUAAUAGCAGUUGUUGCAUGACAACUGUUUGAAAGGUGCAAUUGCACCACUACCAGAUGGACCUGCGUUGUAUUAGCUAGUUGGUGGGGUAACGGCUCACCAAGGCGACGAUACAUAGCCGACCUGAGAGGGUGAUCGGCCACACUGGGACUGGGACACGGCCCAGACUCCUACGGGAGGCAGCAGUAGGGAAUCUUCGGCAAUGGACGGAAGUCUGACCGAGCAACGCCGCGUGAGUGAAGAAGGUUUUCGGAUCGUAAAGCUCUGUUGUAAGAGAAGAACGAGUGUGAGAGUGGAAAGUUCACACUGUGACGGUAUCUUACCAGAAAGGGACGGCUAACUACGUG